RNAcentral lists this ribosomal RNA (397 nucleotides) under uncultured bacterium. Its description in RNAcentral is "partial 16S ribosomal RNA". It matches the Rfam family "Bacterial small subunit ribosomal RNA", at positions 523 to 918 of the family's 1533-position model. The record is from RNAcentral.
AUACGUAGGGGGCGAGCGUUGUCCGGAAUGAUUGGGCGUAAAGGGCGCGUAGGCGGCCGCUUAAGUCUGGAGUGAAAGUCCUGUUUUCAAGAUGGGAAUUGCUUUGGAUACUGGGGGGCUUGAGUGCAGGAGAGGUUAUCGGAAUUCCCGGUGUAGCGGUGAAAUGCGUAGAGAUCGGGAGGAACACCAGUGGCGAAGGCGGGUAACUGGACUGCAACUGACGCUGAGGCGCGAAAGUGUGGGGAGCAAACAGGAGUAGAUACCCUGGUAGUCCACACUGUAAACGAUGAAUGCUAGGUGUAAGAGGUAUCGACCCCUUUUGUGCCGGAGUCAACACAAUAAGCAUUCCGCCUGGGGAGUACGGCCGCAAGGUUGAAACGCAAAUGAAUUGACGGGG